This 86-nucleotide transfer RNA is filed under the name Acidobacteriota bacterium. RNAcentral's name for it is "Acidobacteria bacterium tRNA-Leu". It matches the Rfam family "tRNA". From Rfam's summary of the family: Transfer RNA (tRNA) molecules are approximately 80 nucleotides in length. Their secondary structure includes four short double-helical elements and three loops (D, anti-codon, and T loops). Further hydrogen bonds mediate the characteristic L-shaped molecular structure. tRNAs have two regions of fundamental functional importance: the anti-codon, which is responsible for specific mRNA codon recognition, and the 3' end, to which the tRNAs corresponding amino acid is attached (by aminoacyl-tRNA synthetases). tRNAs cope with the degeneracy of the genetic code in two manners: having more than one tRNA (with a specific anti-codon) for a particular amino acid; and 'wobble' base-pairing, i.e. permitting non-standard base-pairing at the 3rd anti-codon position. The record is from RNAcentral. Lineage: Bacteria; Pseudomonadati; Acidobacteriota.
GCCCGGGUGGCGAAAUUGGUAGACGCACGGGACUUAAAAUCCCGAGUGGCGCAAGUCACGUGCCGGUUCGAUUCCGGCCCCGGGCA